RNAcentral lists this ribosomal RNA (241 nucleotides) under uncultured bacterium. RNAcentral describes it as "partial 16S ribosomal RNA". It matches the Rfam family "Bacterial small subunit ribosomal RNA", at positions 28 to 269 of the family's 1533-position model. The record is from RNAcentral.
GACGAACGCUGGCGGCGUGCUUAACACAUGCAAGUCGAGCGGUAAGGCCCUUUCGGGGGUACGACGAGCGGCGAACGGGUGAGUAACACGUGGGUGACCUGCCCUCAGCUCUGGGAUAAGCCUGGGAAACUGGGUCUAAUACCGGAUAUGACUCCAUGGCGCAUGUUGUGGGGUGGAAAGCCUUGUGCGGCUGAGGAUGGGCCCGCGGCCUAUCAGCUUGUUGGUGGGGGGAUGGCCUACC